This is a long non-coding RNA of Gasterosteus aculeatus aculeatus (three-spined stickleback), 3068 nucleotides long. The record is from Ensembl. NCBI's taxonomy places the organism in Eukaryota, Metazoa, Chordata, Actinopteri, Perciformes, Gasterosteidae.
GGCAGCUACCGCACCAACGAACCCAAGCACCUGGAAUCCCCCAGCAGCUCCAGGCCGCUGACGGAGACCCUGAGGCGAGAGAAGAAGAACCUCCCACAAAUAGAGGAGGAGUUCAGGAGCGACUAGCAUCAGAGGACCUUUGACACAGUGGGGUUGAGUGGGAUCAGAUGCCUGGUGCUCUACAUAGUAUGUAUUUUGGUGAGGCUUAAAAGUUCACAUCAAGCCGUUGCGUGAGUAGCCAACAAGUCUCACACUGUAUUGCAGGGUGAAAUACUGAAGUGCCUCAUGUGAGCAAGCUUGAUCUGAAGUCACAUUAUAGCUUAUUCAGAGAGAGGUUAGAUUAGACACAGGGAGAUAGGAAUUUAAGGGAUGUUCAUUUACAUUUGGAACAUUAGUUGAAUAUAAACUCUUUUAAUCAUUGAUUUUUUUCCCGAGCCACUUUCAAGAUGCUUAAAAAAAAGAUCUUACUGUGUAGGUCAAUAGCCAUCUGACAUAAACCUUUCGAUGACAAUCUCCCAUGGAGCCCUUUUUGACAACACUGCUGGUGAUUUGUCUUGUGAUUCGAGCCGAUAGCCUAUCUGAGAAAGGGUGAGCUUAACCAGUGCUGAAUAAAACCUCAGAUCACAGACACAGAAUCUGGUGUUCCUGAAUAAAAACAUCCAACACAGGGGAGAACGCACUGACAAGCAUGGUGCUUUAAGAACCUACAUAUAGAUUGUGAAAGGUGUACACGCUUAUAUUCGUCGUAUUGCAGCCUAUAACACUGCAUUGCCUAUACAGUACGGCACAUGUGAGUGGUUCAGCAUUGCCACAGUCGCAAUAGAUAGCAACUCUGCCGAUCCCAGUAUGCUCAGACUCUGAAACACAUUCUCAGCUGUAGAGCUUCGGGAAUUAGUGUGUGAUGAAAUGUAGACAUUCGUCUAACGGGCAAUGAGGUGAUGAAGCCCAGCAGGGGGGGCGGCCUACAUAUCCAAGUUCUCAUUCCUUCUUACUUCUAGUCUUUUGUGUUAUGGUCCGGCUGCCAGUAGCUUGGUGCUAAAGAGAGUUUGACUUGCGUUCGUGUGUCACAGCAGCAGAGCUAAAGGAUCCAUCCUCCCGAAAUCCUUUUCAUCCCUCAUGAAGAGCAGCUUUCCAGAAAACAGCUGCUCCCAGUGGCCACGUGAAGAAGCACACGUAUGAACACACAUGCACACACAGCGACAUAUGUACAGAGGACCACAGGAGUGCAAAUGCUAAUCUUUUACUUCCAACUCAUACCGCUGCAAUAUGUUUGCGCAUUGCUCUAGGAGAGCUGACCAUGCCGUCACCGCGCUGCUUCCCGCUUAUUUCGGUGCUUUCAGUGGAAAGUCCCAAAUUCUACCUUUAUAGUCCAAUGGAAUAUUCUUCUCUGGCAAGGUGAAAUUUUGCUUGAUGUGUGGUGCAACCAAUGCUUCAGGCUAUCAUCGCUCACUGCAGCUCUCCUUGAUACUAAAGCCCAAUUGUGUAGGUCUAUGUGGUAAAAGUCGUAGAAGAUUUGUAACACAUUAGCUUUGCAUUUGUAGAGCAUGACCGCACUUUGCAGUAAUAUGCAAUAAUAUGAGCUUCUUUCAACCACCAACGAUGCGAGCGUUUGAUUUGCAGAUGCACAUAGCAAGUAGGAUGUAAUGAAUGUACACGUGAUUAUACAAAUAUUGUGUUUUUUUUUUAUUAUUCCUGUGAUUUCUAUACAAAACAAAUUGAAAACAGUUAAAUGGAGUGCGUUGAAUGCAAAUCCUCUGACUGUGUAAUGUAUAAGUGAACGCUACAUUGAAGCCCUGCUCAAGGGUCUUCAUUGUAGCCCGCUUAGCACUAAAGGUAAACUUAUUCAUGGUAGCUCUUCAGAAUGCUCAGGAUAAGGGAAGUACAGACCAUGUUCUCUGUAGCACUAGUACACCUCCAAAAGCUCAGCAUUGUUUGUUUCCACCACUAAAAAAUUGACAAAAGCAGUGCAAAAUUGUACAGUGAAAGGAUGUAAAAACUGCAAUCACCAUUAAGUCACUGGUUCCUAACAAUGUAUGGAAAUGAAUAGAUCCGUCCCCAAACUGUUGUGUGUUUUUAAGAGCGACACAAUGUGAAUGAAAAUGAAAAGUGAGAAAACGGAGUGAAACUGUCGAUUUGAGAUUGACACCAAGAAUAGUUUGUGCUUUUGUUAAAUAGACAAUCACCACUCAAAGUUCAUAAUGGGCGCAAGCCAACAAACUUGGGCUUAUUAUGCUUUGUCGCCUAGUAGGAAUAAGUAAACAUGCAGGAUUUAAAUGUAUGAACCUCACUGUACUCAACAGACUAUGAACAUUCAUCGCCACUCACUAGUUAAUCAUGCGUGGUCCCUGGAGCUUGUGCGUGUGUGUGUGUGUGUGACUGAAUGAAUGGUUAGAUGUUUGUGUAUUCCUGGUCGGCCCACCGAGAUACGGAUUUGAAAAAAACAACAGUCUUUUAACAAAAAUCGAUCAUGUGCACUCAUGCCAACCUUCCACCGUACUCAUUGUCGUGCACUGACCGUAGAGCGAGGCGACGGAAACGAGGCCUGCAUGUAGCUCAUAGUGGCUCUUCGGCCAUUUGCAAACUUCAUGCACGUUGAAACUUGCUGCUCGUAUCCUAUAUGAAGGAAAGGGAGUAGGAAGGCUGUCAUUAGCUCGAACUGGCUAUCUGCCCAUUUCACCAAAUGUGUAACUUUUCCAGGGCUGCUUAGUGCUUCCUGAAAUUUAGCCUAAAACUAACAAUAGACUUUAAAUACGAAAGUUGGCCAUGCGAAAAACCUCAUUUCAAUACUCAUAAAGGCCUUGAUACUUUUACAUACUUAUGUGAAUUUGCAGAUAGCCGGUGAUAGCGUAGACCCGGCAGGUCAGACCACCGUCUGCACCAUCAAACAAUAAUCCUUCUGCGACAGGUACCAGAAAUGAUUAUUACAGUUGUGUUUGUGAUCACACUGUCAUUUAGGAGAUAUUUUCUGUUUGUAAGUCGGGUUGAUUUUGUUUUGUAAUACUUCCACUGUAAAUGACCAUUACUGUGUAAAUCAAGGCAAAGCCAAACUCAAUAAAAGAAGCUUGAAG